RNAcentral lists this ribosomal RNA (710 nucleotides) under uncultured bacterium. RNAcentral's name for it is "bacterial SSU rRNA". It matches the Rfam family "Bacterial small subunit ribosomal RNA", at positions 94 to 823 of the family's 1533-position model. The record is from RNAcentral.
AGUGGCGGACGGGUGAGUAACGCGUGGGUAACCUGCCCUGUACACACGGAUAACAUACCGAAAGGUAUGCUAAUACGAGAUAAUAUACUUUUAUCGCAUGGUAGAAGUAUCAAAGCUCCGGCGGUACAGGAUGGACCCGCGUCUGAUUAGCUAGUUGGUAAGGUAACGGCUUACCAAGGCGACGAUCAGUAGCCGACCUGAGAGGGUGAUCGGCCACAUUGGAACUGAGACACGGUCCAAACUCCUACGGGAGGCAGCAGUGGGGAAUAUUGCACAAUGGGCGAAAGCCUGAUGCAGCAACGCCGCGUGAGCGAUGAAGGCCUUCGGGUCGUAAAGCUCUGUCCUCAAGGAAGAUAAUGACGGUACUUGAGGAGGAAGCCCCGGCUAACUACGUGCCAGCAGCCGCGGUAAUACGUAGGGGGCUAGCGUUAUCCGGAAUUACUGGGCGUAAAGGGUGCGUAGGUGGUUUCUUAAGUCAGAGGUGAAAGGCUACGGCUCAACCGUAGUAAGCCUUUGAAACUGGGAAACUUGAGUGCAGGAGAGGAGAGUGGAAUUCCUAGUGUAGCGGUGAAAUGCGUAGAUAUUAGGAGGAACACCAGUUGCGAAGGCGGCUCUCUGGACUGUAACUGACACUGAGGCACGAAGGCGUGGGGAGCAAACAGGAUUAGAUACCCUGGUAGUCCACGCCGUAAACGAUGAGUACUAGCUGU